CACAAGAGAGACGAGGUCACUGGAGGAUAAACAUCCGUGACUGCACCUCAUGAUCCAUCACGCACGACGGCCGCAGCAUCUCCUGCCAGCUGCCGGCACAGACAAGAGCACGGGAUGGACGACCGCGGUAGCAACGUGGGGCUCAUCUGCCUCUCUCUGAGCAGGAAGCCCCUCAGGCUCACACGGGGAGCCACCAGGCUGGACUGGGUGCAGCUUACGGACGUGGCGCGUGCUGUGGGCGUCGGGCCGCGGCUCCUCCAUGCAGUACUUACACUGCUGUCUGCAGAUCGCACCCAAUCAGGAGGGAAUGGUCCAGGCAGGUGGGCAAGGCCACGGUUUGGCCAGGGUGGUCCUGCGGGCAGUACUGAGCCCGCCCUGCUGGGCACCCCACAGCCCCUGUGGCUCUCCAGCUGCCACUGAGGCCGGACGCCUCAUGAGGAGGCUCCCAUCUGUGGGUGGCAGAAUGACGGCCCCGAAGACCCCCCGCUUCCUCACCCGAAGACCCCCCGCUUCCUCACCCGAAGACCCCCCGCUUCCUCACCCGAAGACCCCCCGCUUCCUCACCCAAAGACCCCCCGCUUCCUUGCCCCGAAGACCCCGCUUCCUCACCCUGGGACCUGUGAGUUCACACAGCAGCGGGGACCUGCGACUGUGGACGGCACAUCAGCUCCCUCAACAGGGAGGCUGCCCUGGGUGACCCGCGAGGGCACAGGGUACCUCCGUCCUGCUGAGUGGAAGAGGGAGGCCAUGGCGGAGGCGGGCGUGAGGGGGACUGGCCUGCCACUACUGGCUUCGUGAGGGGCCCCCAGCCAAGGAGAGGCCUCCCGAAGCCGGAAGAGGCGGAAAAUGGAUUCUCCCAGGAGCCUCCAGAAGGAACCUUGGUGUUGGUGGAAUGGGAUGUGAGAGGACACGCGGGUGAUGUGUCUUGGGUCACACCAGUUCCCGGUCCCCGCACCAGCCCGCCCUGGGCGGGAAGCCUAAGAGGAAUGGAGGGGCCAUCGUGGGGCUCUCCCGGAAACUGGCCCCGGGUGCCUCGGUCCCUGCGUCAGUGCGGGGUUUCGGUGGCCGCCCUGCUGGCUCCGGGCACUCCCUCCGUCUUCCUGCCACGCGGCUGGUCCUUCCUGGGCUGGGCUGAGUCACCCUCCAUGCCCACCCGUCAUACCCGGCAAGAGCUGGGGGCGUGAAGCCAGGCCCAGGUGGGCUGUGGCGGCAUCCAGGUGGAAGGACGUGGAGGACUCGGAGGCGGAGGGGUCUCCAGGGCAGGGCAGGGCCAGUUGCCUGGGGCCAUCUGCUGUGUCCAGGAGCCCGGCGCUGCCACUGGCCUUGCCCCAAGGCCCAGCUCUGCCCUUCAUCCCUUCAGCACCUCCCCGUACCUUCCUUCCAUGGGUCUUAAGCUGUGGCAAGUCCUUAAGCUGGGACGGCCAGCGCCAGCCCUGCCCCCAACAGGUCACUCAGCGGCUCGGAGCCCACGUCCUCCUCGGUGACACAGGAAAAUGGUGCAGUUGUGCAAGGGCAUGAGAGGGUCCCGUGGAAGGCACAUUCCAGAAGGUUCUGUCCCAUGGAAGGCACGUUCCGGAAGGUUCCAUCCCAUGGAAGCCACGUUCCAGAAGUUUCCAUGCUGUGGAAGGCAUGUUCCGGAAGUUUCCGUCCCGUGGAAGGCACGUUCUGGAAGGUUCUGUCCGGUGGAAGGUCACUCUGUGCGGUGUGCACUGACCCCAGCCAGUGGAUGUUCCCCGUCCAAGAGCAAAGCUACAGUCGGCUGCAGGUGCAGUGACUUUUGCACAGUGGAAGAAUUUCUCCAGAAGAUAUUCCUGCAGGUGGAAUCACUGGAUCGUAGGCCCAGAUGUCUUCCACUUACUUGAUUUUGCCUGAUGCCUUCCAAGGAGGCUGUGCACAGCAGGUGUGAGAUGCCCCAUCUCACCAACCGGCCAACAUCCCGAUGGGAGAUGUUGAGUUUUCACCACGCUGCUGAGUGUGACGUGGAAUCUUCUUAUUUUAGCUUGCAUUUCCCUGAUUACAAGUCAGGUGGAACAUCUCGAAUAUGUUUCUGGGCCAUUUGAUUUUCCUGCAAGUCACCUGUUCCAGUUCUUUGCCCAUUUCCUGUUGGGUUGGUCAAUAUUUUUUGUGAUUACACGUUGGAUACGUGGCUGGCCUUUGGCUUGCCUUUGACUUCGUUUGUUCUAUCGAAGCAUGUGCAGAAUUGUUAAAUUUUAAUGUAUUCAAAUGCAUUAAUCUCAUUUCUU
This is a long non-coding RNA of Homo sapiens (human), 2243 nucleotides long. Ensembl annotates it as long intergenic non-protein coding RNA 304. The record is from Ensembl. NCBI's taxonomy places the organism in Eukaryota, Metazoa, Chordata, Mammalia, Primates, Hominidae.